Molecule: ribosomal RNA, 253 nt
Filed under: uncultured bacterium
Lineage: Bacteria
Description: partial 16S ribosomal RNA
Rfam family: Bacterial small subunit ribosomal RNA
Source: RNAcentral
UACGUAGGGGGCAAGCGUUAUCCGGAAUUACUGGGUGUAAAGGGUGAGUAGGCGGCAUGGUAAGCCAGAUGUGAAAGCCUUGGGCUUAACCCGAGGAUUGCAUUUGGAACUAUCAAGCUAGAGUACAGGAGAGGAAAGCGGAAUUCCUAGUGUAGUGGUGAAAUGCGUAGAUAUUAGGAAGAACACCAGUGGCGAAGGCGGCUUUCUGGACUGAAACUGACGCUGAGGCACGAAAGCGUGGGGAGCGAACAGG